RNAcentral lists this ribosomal RNA (241 nucleotides) under uncultured bacterium. RNAcentral describes it as "partial 16S ribosomal RNA". It matches the Rfam family "Bacterial small subunit ribosomal RNA", at positions 524 to 760 of the family's 1533-position model. The record is from RNAcentral.
UACGUAGGCAGCGAGCGUUGUUCGGAGUUACUGGGCGUAAAGGGUGUGUAGGCGGUCCCUUAAGUUUGGUGUGAAAUCUCCCGGCUCAACUGGGAGGGUGCGCCGGAUACUGAGGGGCUAGAGUGCGGGAAGGGAAAGUGGAAUUCCUGGUGUAGCGGUGAAAUGCGUAGAGAUGUGGAGGAACACCAGUGGCGGAAGGCGACUCUUUGGCCUUGUAACUGACGACUGAGGCGGCGAAAGC